Molecule: long non-coding RNA, 521 nt
Organism: Oxyura jamaicensis (ruddy duck)
Lineage: Eukaryota; Metazoa; Chordata; Aves; Anseriformes; Anatidae
Exons: 3
Source: RefSeq, a predicted model, not a curated record
GUUUCCAGGAAAAAGAACAGUGAAGUCUCAGUGAAUCUGUGCAGUCUCAGGCUAAUUUCCAAUUCUCUCUCCCAGUCCUCCCUGCCCACUCAGGAGCCUGUGCUUUCUCAUUUCACCUUGCACUGGGAGAAGGAUGCCAGGCCUAAACAUCUCAAUCCAAGGGACUGAAUGUUACCAGAAGCCUCCAAAACAAGGAGUCCCUCAGAUUUUAAAGGUGAUACAUGAAAUAAAGGCCUGCAGCAGAUACUGCAGUCAUCAAAUCUCCCAUGUGUGGGUGCAAGAAUGAAAGAAAAUCCAGCUCCUGGUGACAAUGAAUGUGUUCGGCACAACCUUCUGCACUCUCACAUUGCUGAAGCCGUUGCCUGAGAAGCAAAAGGUUCCUCAAACCAACCCCAAGUGUUGGGCUCAUGUACCCAACCCUUGCUCUGGGUACAUGAAUCCAAAUAGAGCCUGGCAAAGUGUUUGGCUGAAAUAUUUGCUGUUUCUGGACCUGGUUAGUUUUUGGAUUGAGCUUGGCUGUG